GAUGAAGAACGUAGCGAAAUGCGAUAAGUAAUGUGAAUUGCAGAAUUCAGUGAAUCAUCGAAUCUUUGAACGCACAUUGCGCCCCUUGGUAUUCCGAGGGGCAUGCCUGUUCGAGCGUCAUUACACCACUCAAGCACUGCUUGGUAUUGGGCACUCGUCCGUCGAAAGACGGGCGUGCCUCGAAGACCUCGGCGGGGUUUCUCCAACUUCGGGCGUAGUAGAGUUAAAUCAAAACGUCUUAUAAGCUUGGUGAAAUCUCAUUGCCGUUAAACCUUUUUUUUUCAGGUUGACCUCGGAUCAGGUAGGGAUACCCGCUGAACUUAAGCAUAUCAAUAAGCGGAGGA
Molecule: unclassified non-coding RNA, 344 nt
Filed under: soil metagenome
Description: partial contains 5.8S ribosomal RNA, internal transcribed spacer 2, and large subunit ribosomal RNA
Rfam family: 5.8S ribosomal RNA (bases 1-120)
Source: RNAcentral